This 19-nucleotide small RNA is filed under the name Arabidopsis thaliana (thale cress). RNAcentral's name for it is "ATSL247330". Lineage: Eukaryota; Viridiplantae; Streptophyta; Magnoliopsida; Brassicales; Brassicaceae. The record is from RNAcentral.
GCUUUUUUUUUGGUUUUGU